GGAAAAUCCAAGUCGCAGAGGAGAGCUAAGAAGGCGAAGUCCUUGAGCUGCUCUUGGCUCCAAAAGGGGGUCAAUAAUCAUCCACGUGUGCACAGCAUUGCAGGAGGAGGCUGUGCAUUACUAAUUAUCUCUACCUCUUCUAAGCUGGAUAAAAGGUAAUUGAAACAACUUGCUGGAAGUGUAAUAGAGAAUACUAAGAAUGAGAUGGAUUGAUUUUUUUCUGGUAGCUUUGCAGCCAGCGUUCUGAGUGGUGAUGGAAUGGAAAUAGGAAUCUGCUGAUGCCUUUUGGGCUGGCUGAGGGAAAUCAGGUAAAGCAUCGUGAAUUUUAU
Molecule: long non-coding RNA, 329 nt
Filed under: Gallus gallus (chicken)
Lineage: Eukaryota; Metazoa; Chordata; Aves; Galliformes; Phasianidae
Description: long non-coding RNA NONGGAT008288
Source: RNAcentral